Small nuclear RNA from Loxodonta africana (African savanna elephant), 191 nucleotides. Its record names the gene U2. It matches the Rfam family "U2 spliceosomal RNA". Rfam says of the family: U2 is a small nuclear RNA (snRNA) component of the spliceosome (involved in pre-mRNA splicing). Complementary binding between U2 snRNA (in an area lying towards the 5' end but 3' to hairpin I) and the branchpoint sequence (BPS) of the intron results the bulging out of an unpaired adenosine, on the BPS, which initiates a nucleophilic attack at the intronic 5' splice site, thus starting the first of two transesterification reactions that mediate splicing. NCBI's taxonomy places the organism in Eukaryota, Metazoa, Chordata, Mammalia, Proboscidea, Elephantidae. The record is from Ensembl.
CGCACUUCUCAUUCUUUUGGUUAAGAUCAAAUGCAGUAUCAGUUCUUAUCAGUUUAAUACCUGAUAGGUCCUCUAUCUGAGUACAAUAUAUUAAAUGGAUUUUUGGAGCUGGGAGGUGGAAUGUUAGCUUGCUCCAUCCACCCCAUGCAUCGACCUGGCAUUGCAGUACCUACAGGAACAGAGCACCCCUC